UACGUAGGGUGCAAGCGUUGUCCGGAAUUAUUGGGCGUAAAGAGCUCGUAGGCGGUCUGUCACGUCGGCUGUGAAAACCCGAGGCUCAACCUCGGGCCUGCAGUCGAUACGGGCAAACUAGAGUACUGCAGGGGAGACUGGAAUUCCUGGUGUAGCGGUGAAAUGCGCAGAUAUCAGGAGGAACACCGGUGGCGAAGGCGGGUCUCUGGGCAGUAACUGACGCUGAGGAGCGAAAGCAUGGGGAGCGAACGGG
RNAcentral lists this ribosomal RNA (253 nucleotides) under uncultured bacterium. RNAcentral's name for it is "partial 16S ribosomal RNA". It matches the Rfam family "Bacterial small subunit ribosomal RNA", at positions 524 to 776 of the family's 1533-position model. The record is from RNAcentral.